Molecule: ribosomal RNA, 440 nt
Filed under: uncultured bacterium
Lineage: Bacteria
Description: partial 16S ribosomal RNA
Rfam family: Bacterial small subunit ribosomal RNA
Source: RNAcentral
CCUACGGGAGGCAGCAGUGGGGGAUAUUGCACAAUGGGGGGAACCCUGAUGCAGCGACGCCGCGUGGGUGAAGAAGCGCCUCGGCGCGUAAAGCCCUGUCAGCAGGGAAGAAAAUGACGGUACCUGAAGAAGAAGCCCCGGCUAAAUACGUGCCAGCAGCCGCGGGAAUACGUAGGGGGCAAGCGUUAUCCGGAUUUACUGGGUGUAAAGGGGGCGCAGACGGCGAUGCAAGCCAGGAGUGAAAGCCCGGGGCCCAACCCCGGGACUGCUCUUGGAACUGCGUGGCUGGAGUGCAGGAGGGGCAGGCGGAAUUCCUGGUGUCGCGGUGAAAUGCGUAGAUAUCAGGAGGAACACCGGUGGCGGAGGCGGCCUGCUGGACUGCAACUGACGUUGAGGCCCGAAAGCGUGGGGAGCAAACAGGAUUAGAUACCCGAGUAGUC